AUUGAACGCUGGCGGCAGGCCUAACACAUGCAAGUCGAACGGUAACAGGAAGAAGCUUGCUUCUUUGCUGACGAGUGGCGGACGGGUGAGUAAUGUCUGGGAAACUGCCUGAUGGAGGGGGAUAACUACUGGAAACGUUAGCUAAUACCGCAUAACGUCGCAAGACCAAAGAGGGGGACCUUCGGGCCUCUUGCCAUCGGAUGUGCCCAGAUGGGAUUAGCUAGUAGGUGGGGUAACGGCUCACCUAGGCGACGAUCCCUAGCUGAUCUGAGAGGAUGACCAGCAACACUGGAACUGAAACACGGUCCAGACUCCUACGGGAGGCAGCAGUGGGGAAUAUUGCACAAUGGGCGCAAGCCUGAUGCAGCCAUGCCGCGUGUAUGAAGAAGGACUUCGGGUUGUAAAGUACUUUCAGCGGGGAGGAAGGGAGUAAAGUUAAUACCUUUGCUCAUUGACGUUACCCGCAGAAGAAGCACCGGCUAACUCCGUG
RNAcentral lists this ribosomal RNA (490 nucleotides) under uncultured bacterium. RNAcentral describes it as "partial 16S ribosomal RNA". It matches the Rfam family "Bacterial small subunit ribosomal RNA", at positions 30 to 507 of the family's 1533-position model. The record is from RNAcentral.